RNAcentral lists this ribosomal RNA (499 nucleotides) under uncultured bacterium. Its description in RNAcentral is "partial 16S ribosomal RNA". It matches the Rfam family "Bacterial small subunit ribosomal RNA", at positions 28 to 507 of the family's 1533-position model. The record is from RNAcentral.
GACGAACGCUGGCGGCGUGCCUAAUACAUGCAAGUCGAGCGAAGAAUUUCUGGUUGUUGCACCGGAGGAACUUAGCGACGAAUGGGUGAGUAACACGUAAAGAACCGUGGUCAUAGUGUGGGACAAAGAUGGGAAACGGUAGCUAAUGGCGGAUAAUAGCACUAAAUGGAUGGGAGAUGUUUAAAAGUUGGUGUUGCAAACACUAUGAGUUGGCUUUGCGGUGCAUUGGCUAGUUGGUGGGGUAAAGGACUGCCAAGGCGACGAUGGAUAGCCGACCUGAGAGGGUGGUCGGCUAGCCGGGGAGUGAGACACGGCCCAGACUCCUACGGUAGGCCGCAGUACGGAAUCUUACGCGAUGGGGGAAAGGCUGACGGAGCAAAGCGGCGUGAGUGAAGAAGGAGUUACGUUCGGAAAGCGAUGUAGUUAGGGAAGAAUGAUUGUGUAAUAACCAGACACGGUAGAGACGGUACCUAACCAGAAAGCCCCGGCUAACUACGUG